AGAAUCAACGCUGGCGGCGUGCCUAACACAUGCAAGUCGAACGCGGUUACCCCGCAAGGGGUAACUGAGUGGCGAACGGGUGAGUAACACGUGGUGACCUACCUUCGAAUGGGGGAUAACGUCCCGAAAGGGACGCUAAUACCGCAUAACAUCCUGCUUUUGAACAGGUGGAGAUCAAAGCCGGGGAUCGCAAGACCUGGCGUUUGAAGAGGGCCCGCGUCCGAUUAGCUAGUUGGUGAGGUAACGGCUCACCAAGGCGACGAUCGGUA
RNAcentral lists this ribosomal RNA (269 nucleotides) under uncultured soil bacterium. Its description in RNAcentral is "partial 16S ribosomal RNA". It matches the Rfam family "Bacterial small subunit ribosomal RNA", at positions 26 to 285 of the family's 1533-position model. The record is from RNAcentral.